This 201-nucleotide unclassified non-coding RNA is filed under the name plant metagenome. RNAcentral describes it as "partial contains small subunit ribosomal RNA, internal transcribed spacer 1, and 5.8S ribosomal RNA". The record is from RNAcentral.
UUUCCGUUGGUGAACCAGCGGAGGGAUCAUUAUCGAGUUUAUAACUCCCAAACCCUAUGUGAACUUACCACUUGUUGCUUCGGCGCGCGCUUCGGCGCCGCCGAGGACACUUAAACUCUUUGUUUUUAUAAGCACUUCUGAGUGGCCGAAAGGCAAAAUACAAAUGAAUCAAAACUUUCAACAACGGAUCUCUUGGUUCUG